GUGGUGAAAUGUGAUGUGAUGCUGGCUUUGAAGACGGACUCACGAGUUAAGGGAUGCAGGCAGCCUCUGGAAGCCAGGCAAGGAAGGAAACAUUCCCCCCUCGAGGCCCGCGGAAGAGAAUCAGCCCUGCAGACACCUUGGUCCUGGCCAACUGAGUCCCGUGUGGCGAAUUUCAGACCUGUACUUGGUCUGCAAACUUGGUUUUAAUUGCCUUCAUCUAAACUUUUAUCACUUUGGGGGCCGGCCCAGUGGCGCAGCAGUUAAGUUCGCAUGUUCUGCUUUGGCAGCCCAGGGUUUGCCGGUUCGGAUCCCCGGUGCAGACAUGGCACCACUUGCCAAGCCAUGCUGGGAAUUCUCUAGGUCUCAAAGUCUUAACCUUGAUAAUGAAAUUGUUGCUUUCACAUGGGAAUUUCCUCUCCUGCUUUUAAGAAAAAGAGGAAGGUAACUCACCGAUCUGGCUAAUCCCUGGAAGCCUCAUCAUUUUCUCUUCAUCUCCACCAUGUCUGACAUUUUCUGCUUUUGAUGUCAGCAGCUUAACCAUGUGCUUUCAAUUGGGGCCAGUUGGGUUUUACAUUUUUAAAUUACUUCCAAAAUCUAUAGGGAAGUAUAUUAGUUGCUAUUAUAUUACACAUUUUAAUUAAUUUAAAGCACAUUUCUAUUAUAUCUACAAUGAAUAUAAAUAAUAAUGUGUUGUAUUUUAGACACUUUCUAGGCCUGAAUUUCAGAGAUGGCUGUCAAAGGAAAAGGAUGAAGUCAGCGCAACAAAAGUCUUUCUUAAAUCUCUGUGGAGACUUGUGUGUUUCUAACACUUUAAUGUAACUGCUGAAACCACAGUUGUCAUAUCUGGGCCUCAUCUCAGAGAUCUUCAAAAGUUCUCUUUCCUGCAAAUAUGAAUUCAGAAACAAAGAAUAUUAUUUUCCAAGUUAAAAAAAUACUUUUGAUCUACUUAAAUGUGGUUUUAAAUAAAACUUGAAAAUAUAAACUAGCACAUGAUUAUGGUAAGGUUUUUGUCUCCUGACAUUUGUUGCCAUCAGAGAGACAAAAAAGUGGCAGAGCUAAGUUGAAAGCCAAGAAUAAGUGUGCAUAAACUCAAAUAUUUUAUUUAUAUCCAAACAGCUACAAGAAUGGAGCAAACAGCAUCUAUCGCCAAUGGCUGAGAUGACAGGGGGAUAUAUUUACAACACGUGGUGACAGUAAACCUCUCAUUGCUCGAGUGUCUGACUACAUGUGUUAUAGAAAGUCACUCAAGCACUUUGGGUAAAAAUAAUCACACAUAUUACAAAGUCAGUAUAAUUAACAAGACUAAAUUUUCUUAUCCUUGACUUGUAUAAUAUUUGGGUAAUUUUUUCUAAGGUUGUGGUUUUCACAUAAUAAUAAUGGCUAGUAAAAUGUCUUACAUUUGACAACAGUAACAGGAUCAGAAGUUUCCUACAAGAAACAUCCUCAAGUGAGAGUUUAUGCUUUAAAAUUUUUUUUAUAUAAUCUGGAAGAUUUAUAUUUAGAAAGAAAGAUGUAAAUAGUUUGAAUGAAUUUCUAAAGUUCAAACAAUUAGCAUCGGGACCACAGUACAAGCUUUUUAAACGUAGGUUUUCUAAAUCACAGG
Molecule: long non-coding RNA, 1603 nt
Organism: Equus caballus (horse)
Lineage: Eukaryota; Metazoa; Chordata; Mammalia; Perissodactyla; Equidae
Source: Ensembl